Molecule: ribosomal RNA, 658 nt
Filed under: uncultured Actinomycetes bacterium
Lineage: Bacteria; Bacillati; Actinomycetota; Actinomycetes
Description: bacterial SSU rRNA
Rfam family: Bacterial small subunit ribosomal RNA
Source: RNAcentral
AAGGCCAGUGCUUGCACUGGUACUCGAGUGGCGAACGGGUGAGUAACACGUGGGUGAUCUGCCCUGCACUUCGGGAUAAGCCUGGGAAACUGGGUCUAAUACCGGAUAGGACCACAUUUUGGAUGGUGUGGUGGAAAGUUUUUCGGUGUGGGAUGAGCUCGCGGCCUAUCAGCUUGUUGGUGGGGUAAUGGCCUACCAAGGCGUCGACGGGUAGCCGGCCUGAGAGGGUGUACGGCCACAUUGGGACUGAGAUACGGCCCAGACUCCUACGGGAGGCAGCAGUGGGGAAUAUUGCACAAUGGGCGCAAGCCUGAUGCAGCGACGCCGCGUGGGGGAUGACGGCCUUCGGGUUGUAAACUCCUUUCGCUAGGGACGAAGCGCAAGUGACGGUACCUGGAGAAGAAGCACCGGCUAACUACGUGCCAGCAGCCGCGGUAAUACGUAGGGUGCGAGCGUUGUCCGGAAUUACUGGGCGUAAAGAGCUCGUAGGUGGUUUGUCGCGUCGUUUGUGUAAGCCCGCAGCUUAACUGCGGGACUGCAGGCGAUACGGGCAUAACUUGAGUGCUGUAGGGGAGACUGGAAUUCCUGGUGUAGCGGUGGAAUGCGCAGAUAUCAGGAGGAACACCGAUGGCGAAGGCAGGUCUCUGGGCAGUAACUG